AUUAUUAUUAUUAUUAUUAUUAUUAUUAUUAUUAUUAUUAUUAUUAUUUUGUUUUUAAAUCAAAUGAAGUCCUGCAUAAACAGUAUACUCGCGGGUUUGAUGCCCGACGUGUGAGUCUAAAGAGAGAGAGAGAGAAAAAAAAAAAAAAAACGGCAUUCGUGCGGUCCGCUUAACCAAACGGACACAUCCUAAUUACACGCAUAUAUCGAUAUAAACGCAAAUGACAAACCAAGUAUAAGACUGAACCUACCGGGAAAGGUAAUAACCACAGUUAAGCGAUCCGCACAUCUCGCCACGUCUGACCUCAUAUUCAUAAAACAAGGAUGAUCCCGACUAAGCGGAAAGCAUCGUUCGUGAUUCAUGAAUUCCAUCGAAACGAAUAAUUGUUCACAUCGAUUAUACCUAUUAUCGAUAACACUUGUUUCGAUUGUUGUCUAACGAUUUUCUUCCUACUUCAUAGCUUUCCGUUUCAGGUCGCGGCCCUCAUUGAUUCGCCUUUGAUUCAGUCACGCGAAUAUCAGUUUAUGAAUAUGCGCGUCUUAUAAUAUAAAAAAAAAAAAAGGGAUGGUGCACCAGCUAGUGUUUAGAUCGGAUAAGCUCCUUGUGAAAAAAGAAAAAAAAUAAUGAAAGCUCACUCGAUGGUGGUUCUCAUAGCCGAUAAAUACUAAUCAUUAAGACAGCCUGCCAAGAAUCAAACUAUUGUAAAAUAUCAAACGAACGCUAGCCAGUACAGAAUGCUAAGAUCUAUUUUUUAAGAAGCGAAUGUAUAUUUUUGUACUAAGGCAGGCCUUAGUGUGAAUCGUAUUUUCUUGCGCAUAAUGGCAAGACGAAAGCUGUGAUCAUAAUAUCAUUUCGGCUUAGCGAGAGAUACAAUGAAAGAAAAAUCGUACUAGGAAAGGAAAGGGAGGAAAGAAAUAUGAAAAAUAGCAGAAGUAACGCACGAUGGCAUUUACAAGAGAAGGGAUAAUAACAAAUGUGUUCCUUGCUAGUGUUAUACCGAGUGGGCUAUAAAUAAAAAGGAAAUCGAAAGAAUAAAACAUCUGUGAUAAAAUAUAAAAUCUUAGAAAAAGGUGCUCGAAAAAAAUGGCGAAAAAGAGAACAAAUGAAAAACAAGCUUAUGUUAAAAAUAUAAUAGAAAAAAAAAAAAAAAAUUUGAAACAAAAUGGAGAGAAUAAUAUAAGUAAAGAUGGAACACUGUGUGUAUUAGGAAAACGAUACGCGAUAUGAAAUUCCUACAAAGAAAAAUGUUUAGAAGUGCUUUUAGAAGAUCUAUGCGAAAAAUGUUUGUCGUAUAUGACUAAUCGAUGGAGAUUGUCUUUUAAUGAGAUAGCCCGGUCUAACUAUUGUAGUGGGUACCGUCUUGUGAUAUCCUUAAUUAAAA
Apis dorsata (giant honeybee) is the source of this 1381-nucleotide long non-coding RNA. RefSeq lists it as uncharacterized. NCBI's taxonomy places the organism in Eukaryota, Metazoa, Arthropoda, Insecta, Hymenoptera, Apidae. The record is from RefSeq and is a predicted model, not a curated record. The transcript is spliced from 2 exons.